GACGAACGCUGGCGGCGUGCUUAACACAUGCAAGUCGAACGGGAUCUGCGUGGCCUUUGUGGUUGUGUGGUGAGAGUGGCGAACGGGUGAGUAACACGUGAGUAACCUGCCUUUUUCUUUGGGAUAACGCUCAGAAAUGGGUGCUAAUACUGGAUGUUCUGCGCUUUCCGCAUGGGGGGUGUGGGAAAGGGGCCUUUGUGGUUUCUGGAGGGAGAUGGGCUCGCGGCUUAUCAGCUUGUUGGUGGGGUGAUGGCUUACCAAGGCUUUGACGGGUAGCCGGCCUGAGAGGGUGGGCGGUCACAUUGGGACUGAGAUACGGCCCAGACUCCUACGGGAGGCAGCAGUGGGGAAUUUUGCACAAUGGGGGGAACCUUGAUGCAGCGACGCCGCGUGAGGGAUGGAGGCCUUCGGGUUGUGAACCUCUUUCGCUCGUGUGCAAGCCGCUAUUUGGGUAGUGGUGAGUGUAGCGGGUAAAGAAGCGCCGGCUAACUACGUGCCAGCAGCCGCGGUAAUACGUAGGGCGCGAGCGUUGUCCGGAUUUAUUGGGCGUAAAGGGCUUGUAGGCGGUUUGUCGCGCCUGUCGUGUAAUCCUCUGGCUUAACUGGGGGUGUGCGGUGGGUACGGGCAGGCUUGAGUGCGGUAGGGGAGAUUGGAAUUCCUGGGUGUAGCGGUGGAAUGCGCAGAUAUCAGGAGGAACACCGGGUGGCGAAGGCGGGGUCUCUGGGGCCGUUACUGACGCUGAAGAGCGAAAGCGUGGGGAGCGAACAGGAUUGAUACCCUGGUAGUCCAAGGCGAAUUCCACAGUGAAAUCAAGUUUAUCCUACUGCCCAACUCCAGGGGG
This 841-nucleotide ribosomal RNA is filed under the name uncultured Actinomyces sp. Its description in RNAcentral is "bacterial SSU rRNA". It matches the Rfam family "Bacterial small subunit ribosomal RNA", at positions 28 to 879 of the family's 1533-position model. The record is from RNAcentral. Lineage: Bacteria; Bacillati; Actinomycetota; Actinomycetes; Actinomycetales; Actinomycetaceae.